UGAGGAAUAUUGGUCAAUGGGCGCAAGCCUGAACCAGCCAUCCCGCGUGAAGGACGACUGCCCUAUGGGUUGUAAACUUCUUUUGUAUAGGGAUAAACCUACCCUCGUGAGGGUAGCUGAAGGUACUAUACGAAUAAGCACCGGCUAACUCCGUGCCAGCAGCCGCGGUAAUACGGAGGGUGCAAGCGUUAUCCGGAUUUAUUGGGUUUAAAGGGUCCGUAGGCGGACUUAUAAGUCAGUGGUGAAAGCCUGUCGCUUAACGAUAGAACUGCCAUUGAUACUGUAAGUCUUGAGUAUAUUUGAGGUAGCUGGAAUAAGUAGUGUAGCGGUGAAAUGCAUAGAUAUUACUUAGAACACCAAUUGCGAAGGCAGGUUACCAAGAUAUAACUGACGCUGAGGGACGAAAGCGUGGGGAGCGAACA
RNAcentral lists this ribosomal RNA (422 nucleotides) under Microvirga ossetica. RNAcentral's name for it is "partial 16S ribosomal RNA". It matches the Rfam family "Bacterial small subunit ribosomal RNA", at positions 355 to 774 of the family's 1533-position model. RNAcentral also lists the same sequence under 1 other name. The record is from RNAcentral. Lineage: Bacteria; Pseudomonadati; Pseudomonadota; Alphaproteobacteria; Hyphomicrobiales; Methylobacteriaceae.